UCUUGUUUGAAUCUAGCUAACAAUUUGGUUAUCCCUUAAACUAAUACAUACAAGACCAACCACUCCCGUGAGUUAAAAGUAUUCUUCUAUAAUUAAACAUAUAAAGCUGUCUACAAAUAAUAAAUAAAAUAAUUUUUAAAUAAAGAAACCCACGCCUGUAGUAUAUAAAACUGAGUUAUUUUUGGGAAACCAAGAACCGAUUAUAGGACUUAGGGCUGGUAAAAUUUGUGCCAGCUACCGCGGUUAAACAAAAAGCCCAAAUCAACUAACAUCAAAACUAAAGUAGACCUAAAUGACAUAAUUCUAACUUAAAGGAGUAUAACCCGAAACAGUAAAUAUUUAUCCUACAAAUGUCAAAACCUGCUUUAACUAAAGCUUAAACCAAAACGAGGAUUUGAUACCCACUUAUUUUAAGCCUUUUAUCCUGGGUAGUAUGGUCUCAUGACUUAAACCUAAAGAUAUUGGCGGUGCUUUAACCUCUUAGGGGAACCUGUUCUUUAAACCGAUAGUCCACGUACUCCUAACCAUAUUUUGCCCUAGCCUGUGUAUUUCCGUCUAAUUUAUGCUGUGAAGCCUAAGUAAAAAAAUUACUUCAUUUUAACGUCAGGUCGAAGUGCAGCCUAUAAUAUGGGAGAAAUGGGUUACUUUCCACUAGGUACCAUAAACAUUAAUAAAAUUUAAUUUAAUAGGAGGACUUAAAAGUAAGAAAACAAAAACUAUUUUUCUGAAUAUGGAUAACUAAAGCGCGUACACAUCGCCCGUCGCUCUCGUCGAAAGAUGAGAUAAGUCGUAACAUAGUAGGUGUAACGGAAGUUGUGCCU
Molecule: ribosomal RNA, 821 nt
Filed under: Clymenella torquata (bamboo worm)
Lineage: Eukaryota; Metazoa; Annelida; Polychaeta; Maldanidae
Description: partial 12S ribosomal RNA
Source: RNAcentral